AUACGUAGGGGGCAAGCGUUAUCCGGAUUUACUGGGUGUAAAGGGAGCGUAGACGGUAAAGCAAGUCUGAAGUGAAAGCUCGGGGCUCAACCCCGGAACUGCUUUGGAAACUGUUUUACUGGAGUGCAGGAGAGGUAAGCGGGAUUUCUAGUGUAGCGGUGAAAUGCGUAGAUAUUAGGAGGAACACCAGAGGCGAAGGCGGCUUACUGGACUGUAACUGACGUUGAGGCUCGAAGGCGUGGGGAGCAAACAGGAUUAGAUACCCUGGUAGUCCACGCGGUAAACGAUGAUCACUAGGUGUCGGCGGCCAUAGGCGGUCGGUGCCGCAGCAAACGCAAUAAGUGAUCCACCUGGGGAGUACGUUCGCAAGAAUGAAACUUAAAGGAAUUGACGGGG
RNAcentral lists this ribosomal RNA (396 nucleotides) under uncultured bacterium. RNAcentral's name for it is "partial 16S ribosomal RNA". It matches the Rfam family "Bacterial small subunit ribosomal RNA", at positions 523 to 918 of the family's 1533-position model. The record is from RNAcentral.